GACAGAGGGUGCAAACGUUGUUCGGAAUUACUGGGCGUAAAGCGUGUGUAGGCGGUCCACUAAGUCGGAUGUGAAAGCCCUCAGCUCAACUGAGGAAGUGCGCCCGAAACUGCUGUGCUUGAGUGCCGGAGAGGGUGGCGGAAUUCCCCAAGUAGAGGUGAAAUUCGUAGAUAUGGGGAGGAACACCGGUGGCGAAGGCGGCCACCUGGACGGUAACUGACGCUGAGGAGCGAAAGCGUGGGGAGCAAACAGG
This 253-nucleotide ribosomal RNA is filed under the name uncultured bacterium. Its description in RNAcentral is "partial 16S ribosomal RNA". It matches the Rfam family "Bacterial small subunit ribosomal RNA", at positions 524 to 776 of the family's 1533-position model. The record is from RNAcentral.